CAGUAGCCGCGGGAAUACAGAGGGUGCGAGCGUUAAUCGGAUUUACUGGGCGUAAAGCGUGCGUAGGCGGCUUCUUAAGUCGGAUGUGAAAUCCCUGAGCUUAACUUAGGAAUUGCAUUCGAUACUGGGAAGCUAGAGUAUGGGAGAGGAUGGUAGAAUUCCAGGUGUAGCGGUGAAAUGCGUAGAGAUCUGGAGGAAUACCGAUGGCGAAGGCAGCCAUCUGGCCUAAUACUGACGCUGAGACGCGAAAGCCAGGGGAGCGAACGGGAUUAGAUACCCGUGUAGUCCCUGUCUCUUAUAC
RNAcentral lists this ribosomal RNA (301 nucleotides) under uncultured bacterium. RNAcentral describes it as "partial 16S ribosomal RNA". It matches the Rfam family "Bacterial small subunit ribosomal RNA", at positions 509 to 807 of the family's 1533-position model. The record is from RNAcentral.